This 402-nucleotide long non-coding RNA is filed under the name Coffea arabica (coffee). RNAcentral's name for it is "long non-coding RNA (CARA_LNC000304)". Lineage: Eukaryota; Viridiplantae; Streptophyta; Magnoliopsida; Gentianales; Rubiaceae. The record is from RNAcentral.
GGGGAAAAGAAGAAUUCACGUGGAUGAGGAGGAUUUUUUGGAAGUGAAUCGAAAGGAAGUACAAUUAGUUGCUGGAACAAUUGGCAGAAAACUGAAAAUUUUGCAGGCUCACAGAUUUUGGGGAAAGAAAUUUCAGUGACCUAAUUUUUGGGGAAAACAAAAAUUCACGUGCGUGCGGAGGAAUUUGUGGGUUGCAAUAAAAGGAAGGACAAAGUUGUUGAAGGAAUUGGCUGAAAACUGAACAUUUUGCAGGCGCAUAUAGCUGGCUACUAAUCGGCGAAAAGGAAGAGGCUAUGCGACGCAAAGAAAAGGAAGGAAACUCUGCCUAAAUGAAAAAAAACUUCAGUGACUAAUAAGACCAUUUAUUUGACUUCGUUGGUUCCUGUCAAACCAAAGAAAGGG